AGCUGAGCUACGGCCCCUAAAUCAGGAUAAAGCGUUUAAAACGAUCAAAAGAGGGAUUACAAAAUCUAUAUAACUCAAAGCGAUAUGAUUGAACCGAUAGUUUCAUAUAGGCAUUGACGUCUAUGAGCAUUUGGAAUUUAUAUCAACCAAAUGGACGCUGUAAAAAUCACUUUGCAAGGAAUUUUGACUCCUUAGUAUUUAGCAUUUGAACUGUUUUUUUGCCAUUAAUUUGCUUUAACUUUGGAUUACUCACACAAAAGCAAUAAGCCUGCCAAUUUUGAUAAGCUUUUUAGAAGCAAUCUUUUUAGAAGCAAUCUUUUUAGAAGUACUUAUUUUUUAAAAGCACUUAUGAAAGUAAUGGAUAAACUGGUGGGCCUGGGAGGACUUGAACCUCCGACCUCACGCUUAUCAAGCGCGCGCUCUAACCAACUGAGCUACAAGCCCUCCGGGAUAAACCGGAAAACCUUCCCCGGCAUCCUCUUAUAAAACGCUUAAAUUUUAUCAAGGAAAGCGUUUUUCAAAGCCCACGGUGGACUUGUUUU
Molecule: unclassified non-coding RNA, 542 nt
Filed under: uncultured Bartonella sp.
Lineage: Bacteria; Pseudomonadati; Pseudomonadota; Alphaproteobacteria; Hyphomicrobiales; Bartonellaceae
Description: partial 16S-23S ribosomal RNA intergenic spacer
Source: RNAcentral